This is a long non-coding RNA of Arabidopsis thaliana (thale cress), 283 nucleotides long. RefSeq annotates it as other RNA. The record is from RefSeq. Lineage: Eukaryota; Viridiplantae; Streptophyta; Magnoliopsida; Brassicales; Brassicaceae. The transcript has a single exon.
ACCCUAAUUGGCAGAGAGAGAAUCAAUCGAAUCAAGAGUAUUAAAUGGAAAAAGCGAAUCAAGACCCCACAAGGGAAAACAAUCCUUAAAGCAGACUUGAGAUCGAUCAUACCCAAAUUAUGGAUUCAUAUAUUGUUAACGUAUCGAUUACUGAAAAGAUGUAUACCAAAUCUGUUCACUUUUUCUCUAUAGACUCGAUGGAUGAUUGAGAUUUGAAGCAACAAAAUACCCAGAAGAUUAAACAUGGAAAAGCAUCAAACUUUGAUGAUCUUAGAACGAUGAC